CCUACGGGUGGCAGCAGUGGGGGAUAUUGCACAAUGGGGGAAACCCUGAUGCAGCGACGCCGCGUGUGGGAAGACGGCCCUCUGAUUGUAAACCACUGUCCCCAGGGACGAAGAUGACGGUACCUGGGGAGGAAGCUCCGGCUAAUUACUGGCCAGCAGCCGCGGUAAUACGUAGGGAGAGAGCGUUGUCCGGAAUUACUGGGUGUAAAGGAAGCGUAGGGGGGACGGCGAGAUGGGUGUAAAAUCUACCGGCUCAAACGGUAGCCGCAUUCAAAACUGAAGUUCUUGAGGGAAGUAGAGGCGGGUGGAAUGCCUAGUGUAGCGGGGAAAGGCGUAGAGAUUAGGAGGAAAACCAGUGGCGAAGGCGGCCUGCUGGGCAUUUACUGACGCUGAGGUUCGAAAGUGUGGGGAGAAAACAGGAUUAGAUACCCGGGUAGUC
This 439-nucleotide ribosomal RNA is filed under the name uncultured bacterium. Its description in RNAcentral is "partial 16S ribosomal RNA". It matches the Rfam family "Bacterial small subunit ribosomal RNA", at positions 338 to 795 of the family's 1533-position model. The record is from RNAcentral.